RNAcentral lists this long non-coding RNA (918 nucleotides) under Homo sapiens (human). RNAcentral describes it as "HSALNT0183314". Lineage: Eukaryota; Metazoa; Chordata; Mammalia; Primates; Hominidae. The record is from RNAcentral.
AAAUUAGGGGUAAUAAAAUACCCAUCUCACUGAGUUGUUUUGAAUAUUAACCUAGUUAAUAUUUAUAAGGUCCUUAGAAAGGUGCCUAGCACACAGUGAGCUCUGUGCAAGUGUUACUAAAGAAAAUGAAUCAUCCUGUUCUUUUCCACAAUACCUAGACGUUGCCUUGCCCAGGAAGAGGAGAUUGGUUACAGACAAGCACAGAAGGAAGACCACACGAAGACACAGAAUGGAGGCUCUCUCUAUGCUACACAGAGAAGUCUCAGAAGAAACCAAUCUUGCUGGCACCUUGAUCUCAGGCUUCCAGCCUCCAGAAUUGUGAGAAAAUAAAGUUCUGUUGUUUGUCACCCCAUCUGUGGUAGGUUGUUAUGGCAGCCUGAGGAAACUAAUACAGGUGUCCUAAUGGAAAGGCCCAUGCUCUCAUAGCUGCUUGGCAGCCUCCAGGGUGAGUAAGAUGUGGCUGGAACGCAAGCACGCAUUGUCUGCAAGUCCUCAGCUGCUGAGGGAAGGCUGGACCUUGUGCUUGGCUGCAGGGUGUGGCCUCUGACACGGAAGCACUUUUCCAGCCCUGGGUGACUCUUGGAGUGAGUAUUAUCACAGACCAUGUCUGCACAAUUUACAUCCACCAAUGAAUUAACUUCUAUUUACAAGACUUGAAGAAAUGCACCAAGGUCGGCUGAAUGAAAACUCAACGUCAGUAGCAUUUUGUAAUUGAUGAUGAUGAUGAUGAAUUAAUUUGUGUACAAUGACUAUCAAUACCUAUUAUCAAUAUCCAUUACUUUUUUGUUUGUUUAUUUGUUUUUUUGGGUUUUCUUGUUUUGUUUUGUUUUUUUUUUUUUGCAUGUCUGAACUCUCUAUCUUGGUUGUAGCCUCAUUGUGGACAAGGAGUACAAUAACAUACUCAAUUUUGCAUCCUUU